CCUACGGGAGGCAGCAGUAGGGAAUAUUGCUCAAUGGGGGAAACCCUGAAGCAGCAACGCCGCGUGGAGGAUGAAGGUUUUCGGAUUGUAAACUCCUUUUGUUAGAGAAGAUAAUGACGGUAUCUAACGAAUAAGCACCGGCUAACUCCGUGCCAGCAGCCGCGGUAAUACGGAGGGUGUAAGCGUUACUCGGAAUCACUGGGCGGAAAGAGCGCGUAGGCGGGAUAGCAAGUCAGAUGUGAAAUCCUAUGGCUUAACCAUAGAACUGCAUUUGAAACUGUUAUUCUAGAGUAUGGGAGAGGUAGGUGGAAUUCUUGGUGUAGGGGUAAAAUCCGUAGAGAUCAAGAGGAAUACUCAUUGCGAAGGCGACCUGCUAGAACAUAACUGACGCUGAUGCGCGAAAGCGUGGGGAGCAAACAGGAUUAGAUACCCUGGUAGUC
This 440-nucleotide ribosomal RNA is filed under the name uncultured bacterium. Its description in RNAcentral is "partial 16S ribosomal RNA". It matches the Rfam family "Bacterial small subunit ribosomal RNA", at positions 338 to 795 of the family's 1533-position model. The record is from RNAcentral.